AUACGGAGGACGCGAGCGUUAUCCGGAUUCAUUGGGUUUAAAGGGUGCGCAGGCGGCCGUGCAAGUCAGCGGUGAAAGCCCGGGGCUCAACCCCGGAAGUGCCGUUGAUACUGCAUGGCUGGAAUGCGGUCGAGGCGGGCGGAACGGGGCGUGUAGCGGGGGAAUGCGUAGAUAUGCCACAGAACGCCGAUAGCGGAGGCAGCGCGCCAGGCCUGCAUUGACGCUCGGGCACGAAAGGGUGGGGAUCGAACAGGAUUAGAUACCCUGGUAGUCCACGCCGUAAACGAUGGGCGCUCGUCGUCGGCGACAGACAGUCGGCGGCCAAGCGAAAGCGAUAAGCGCCCCACCUGGGGAGUACGGUCGCAAGGCUGAAACUCAAAUGAAUUGACGGGG
RNAcentral lists this ribosomal RNA (393 nucleotides) under uncultured bacterium. Its description in RNAcentral is "partial 16S ribosomal RNA". It matches the Rfam family "Bacterial small subunit ribosomal RNA", at positions 523 to 918 of the family's 1533-position model. The record is from RNAcentral.